GUGUCAGCAGCCGCGGUAAGACAGAGGUGCCAAGCGUUAGGCGGAAUCACUGGGCUUAAAGCGUGUGUAGGCGGAUGCCUAAGUACCUUGUGAAAUCCCACGGCUCAACCGUGGAACGGCUGGGUAUACUGGGCGUCUUGAGCCAGCUAGGGGCUGCCGGAACAAAUGGUGGAGCGGUGAAAUGCGUAGAUAUCAUUUGGAACGCCAAUGGUGAAAACAGGCAGCUGGGGCUGUGCUGACGCUGAGACACGAAAGCCAGGGGAGCGAACGGGAUUAGAUACCCCGGUAGUCC
Molecule: ribosomal RNA, 292 nt
Filed under: uncultured bacterium
Lineage: Bacteria
Description: partial 16S ribosomal RNA
Rfam family: Bacterial small subunit ribosomal RNA
Source: RNAcentral